RNAcentral lists this ribosomal RNA (318 nucleotides) under Triticum aestivum (bread wheat). RNAcentral's name for it is "partial small subunit ribosomal RNA". The record is from RNAcentral. Lineage: Eukaryota; Viridiplantae; Streptophyta; Magnoliopsida; Poales; Poaceae.
AUGGUGAAACUAAUGACAGGGCUCAUCAAUACUAUGACUAGUGAGAACACUUCUAACAUGAUCACUGAAUAUGCAAACAAAAGGCAGGAAGCAAAGGACAAGGCAAAAGAGAAGAAAGCAAACAACACUAAGGAAUCCAUUACUCAUUAUCAACUGUUGGCAGUUCAAUGUGGUGCAGAAGAAACAAGUGUUGAGUACUUCAUGGCAACUCAACUGUUUGCAGAUGAGGCAAACAGAGUCAUAUUUCAGAACAUUUCAAGUGAUGAGGCUAGAUUGACUUGGUUGAAGAGGUGGUGCAUGAUGAAGAAGUUGUACUAG